AUUGAACGCUGGCGGCAUGCCUAACACAUGCAAGUCGAACGGUAACAGAAAGCAUCUUUCUGCUUUUCUGACGAGUGGCGGACGGGUGAGAAAUGUCUGGGAAACUGCCUGAUUUGGGGUGAUAACUACUGGAAACGGUAGCUAAUACCUCAUAACUUCUCAAGACCAAAGAGGGGUACCUUGGUGCCGCUUUCGGUGAUGUGUUCGCAGAUGGGAUGAGCUAGUGGGUGGGGUAACGGGUCACCUAGGCGACGAUCCCUAGCUGGUGUGAGAGUGUGACGAGCGACAUUAGAGGUGAGACAGGGUCAAGACGCCUGAGGGAGGCAGCAGUCGGGAAUAUUGGGCAAUGGGCGGAAGCAUGGUGCAGUCAUGCCGCGUGUAUGAAGGAGGCGUUCGGGUUGUAAAGUACUUUCAGCGGGGGGGAAGGGAGUAAAGUUAAUACCUUGGCUCAUUGACGUUAACCGGAGAAGAAGCACCGGCUAACUACGUG
Molecule: ribosomal RNA, 490 nt
Filed under: uncultured bacterium
Lineage: Bacteria
Description: partial 16S ribosomal RNA
Rfam family: Bacterial small subunit ribosomal RNA
Source: RNAcentral